AGGAUUAAAUUAAUGGGGGUAAAUUUAAUAAAAUAAAUUUUAAAUGAAUAUUUUAAUGGGGGUUAAAGUAUUUUUAUAGAAAAAAUUUAUAAGUUUAUAGUUAAAUAGUAUUGUAAAAUAAAUUUUAAAUAAUUUUAAAAUUUAUUAUUGAAAAAGUAAUUUUAGGUUAAUGUAUCUUGGGUAUCAGAGUUUAUUGAGUUAUUAUUUCUAGAAAUAUGACAAUAAAAUUAUGGGGGAAAAUUCUCGAAUUAAAAAGAGUUAAAUAAUUAUUUAAAUUUAUUGUAUUAAAAAUAUUUUUAAUAAUUAUUUUGAAAUGAAAAGUUAUUCGUUUUUUAAGAUAUCUAGUUUUUUUAGAAAAAAAUUUAAUUUUAAAUUAAAAUUUUUUAAAAUUAAUUAAUUAAUUUUAAAAAGAAAUUUAAUUUUAUAUUUUAUGGGAUAAGCUUUAAAGUAAAUAUUUAAAAUAAUUUAAUAAAAAAAAAUUAAAAAUUUUAUAAUUUAUAUUGUUAAUAAAAUUUAAUUUAUUAUAAAUAAUUUUUAUAUAAAAAAAAUUUAUUAUAAUAUUUAAAUUUUUAUAAAAAAAUUUAUUUUAAUUUUUAAAAUUUAAUUAUAAUGAUAAAAUUAGUAUAUUUAUUUAAUAAUAUUAUCAUUUAAAGUAAAAAUAAUUUUAAGGAAUUCGGCAAAAAUUUAUAUUCGCCUGUUUAUCAAAAACAUGUCUUUUAGAUUAUAAUUUAAAGUCUAAUCUGCCCACUGAUUAAAUAUUAAAGGGCUGCAGUAUUUUGACUGUACAAAGGUAGCAUAAUAAUUAGUCUUUUAAAUGAAGACUGGAAUGAAUGAUUGGACGAGAUAUAAACUGUCUCAAUAUUAAAAAUUGAAUUUAAUUUUUUUAUUAAAAAGUUAAAAUUUGAUUAAAAGACGAGAAGACCCUAUAGAGUUUAAUAUUAGUAUUAAUUAAGAUUAAUUUAUAUAUUUUAAGUUAAAAUUAAUAUUUUUAUUUUGUUGGGGUGAUAAUAAAAUUUAAAAAACUUUUAUUUUUGAUAAACAUAAAUAAAUGAAUUUAUUGAUCCAAAAUUUUUGAUUAUAAGAAAAAAUUACCUUAGGGAUAACAGCGUAAUUUUUUUUUUUAGUUCAAAUAAGAAAAAAAGUUUGCGACCUCGAUGUUGGAUUAAGAUAUAAUUUAAAUGCAAAAGUUUAAAAUUUUGAUCUGUUCGAUCAUUAAAAUCUUACAUGAUCUGAGUUCAAACCGGUGUGAGCCAGGUUGGUUUCUAUCUUUAAUAAAUUUAAAUAUUUUAGUACGAAAGGAUUGAAUAUUUGAAAUAAUUUUAUUAAUUUGAAUAUUAUUAAAUAAAAUAAUUAAA
RNAcentral lists this ribosomal RNA (1355 nucleotides) under Pidorus glaucopis. RNAcentral's name for it is "16S ribosomal RNA". Lineage: Eukaryota; Metazoa; Arthropoda; Insecta; Lepidoptera; Zygaenidae. The record is from RNAcentral.